GCCAGCAUGGCAUAGUGGUUUGAGUGCUGGACUAUGACUCUGGAGACCAGAGAUUGAUUCCCAGCUUGGCC
Molecule: non-coding RNA, 71 nt
Organism: Phrynosoma platyrhinos (Desert horned lizard)
Lineage: Eukaryota; Metazoa; Chordata; Lepidosauria; Squamata; Phrynosomatidae
Source: the annotation of a GenBank genome assembly